AUUGAACGCUGGCGGCAGGCCUAACACAUGCAAGUCGAGCGGAUGAAGGGAGCUUGCUCCUGGAUUCAGCGGCGGACGGGUGAGUAAUGCCUAGGAAUCUGCCUGGUAGUGGGGGAUAACGUCCGGAAACGGGCGCUAAUACCGCAUACGUCCUGAGGGAGAAAGUGGGGGUUCUUCGGACCUCACGCUAUCAGAUGAGCCUAGGUCGGAUUAGCUAGUUGGUGGGGUAAAGGCCUACCAAGGCGACGAUCCGUAACUGGUCUGAGAGGAUGAUCAGUCACACUGGAACUGAGACACGGUCCAGACUCCUACGGGAGGCAGCAGUGGGGAAUAUUGGACAAUGGGCGAAAGCCUGAUGCAGCCAUGCCGCGUGUGUGAAGAAGGUCUUCGGAUUGUAAAGCACUUUAAGUUGGGAGGAAGGGCAGUAAGUUAAUACCUUGCUGUUUUGACGUUACCAACAGAAUAAGCACCGGCUAACUUCGUG
RNAcentral lists this ribosomal RNA (484 nucleotides) under uncultured bacterium. RNAcentral's name for it is "partial 16S ribosomal RNA". It matches the Rfam family "Bacterial small subunit ribosomal RNA", at positions 30 to 507 of the family's 1533-position model. The record is from RNAcentral.